This 414-nucleotide ribosomal RNA is filed under the name Triticum aestivum (bread wheat). RNAcentral describes it as "partial small subunit ribosomal RNA". The record is from RNAcentral. Lineage: Eukaryota; Viridiplantae; Streptophyta; Magnoliopsida; Poales; Poaceae.
AUGUGCUCAUCAUGUUCAUGUGUGUGUGCGCCCACUGCCCACCAUGCCGCAGCACGCACGAGGACGAUCGUCUGCCGAAUCGUCGGCGGUGCUCACCGACGGGUGGUCCCCCCGACGGACGGACGGACGGACGGGCUACUUCUUCUGUCCACGUGCCGACCACCGCCGCGGCGAUCCCGCUCUGCUGCAGCUGCCCCUCGACGGCAUCGCCAGCCCAGCCCCUCUGGCCCGCUGCGUCUGGGCCCCACCGCCGCAUGCAGCCACGCCCGAGCUUCGCGACACCGAACAGUUCCGUGCUCGGCUGACAGGUGGGCCCGCUCCCGUGCGCUGCUCCGCCACCUCUCCGUCACGGAGCAGUGGAGAUGCCAACGACGGCCACCGGCGUGCCACGGGCGACGCGGCCCCACCCUGUGA